GAUGAACGCUGGCGGCGUGCCUAAUACAUGCAAGUCGAGCGAACGGACGAGAAGCUUGCUUCUCUGAUGUUAGCGGCGGACGGGCGAGUAACACGUGGAUAACCUACCUAUAAGACUGGGAUAACUUCGGGAAACCGGAGCUAAUACCGGAUAAUAUUUUGAACCGCAUGGUUCAAAAGUGAAAGACGGUCCUGCUGUCACUUAUAGAUGGAUCCGCGCUGCAUUAGCUAGUUGGUAAGGUAACGGCUUACCAAGGCAACGAUGCAUAGCCGACCUGAGAGGGUGAGCGGCCACACUGGAACGGAGACACGGCCCAGACUCCUACGGGGGGCAGCGGUGGGAAAUCUUCCGAAAGGGGCGAAAGCCGGACGGGGCAACGCCGGGUGAGUGAGGAAGGUCUCCGGAUCGAAAACCUUUGUUUUUAGGAAAGAAAAUAUGUGAAAGUAACUGUGCACAUCUGGCCGGUACCUAACCAGAAAGCCACGGCUAACUC
Molecule: ribosomal RNA, 493 nt
Filed under: uncultured bacterium
Lineage: Bacteria
Description: partial 16S ribosomal RNA
Rfam family: Bacterial small subunit ribosomal RNA
Source: RNAcentral